AAGUUUAGUUCCACUUCUACAGGAACCAGAAGACAGAUGUUUCUUCAAAAUGCCCGUCAACGUUACCCGCUGAUCCUCUAACCACAUGCCCUGAGAGCUUUGCUAGAAAUGAGGGUCACAGUGUAAUGGGAAAAGACGUCAAAGAAGAGCAAAACCGUCUCCGAGGAUUUGAGUGCUCUCAAGGCCUGUGGACCCAUAGGAUGUGGAGUCCGGUUGACGAAUGUUCUGUAGGCAGUCGGGACUCACUGUCGGAGAGCAGCUGUUCCAAACUGGACAAUGUCUCUGAAAAACAGGACAGGGAGAGGUGCAAUUAGUUUUUUAUUUCACAAUGAAUCUGUGGAUGACUGAUGAAGUAAAUGAUCCAUAAAUGUCUGAUGUAAUUUCAUACAAUGGAUUUUAAGAUGCAGUUGUUGAGUAAAGUGUUGAUUAACACAUAAUGUUUUCCCAGCUGUAUCGGCCAGAGGGCUCAAACAACCCCUGUUUCCUCUCAAGAAUGUCUCAGACUCAAGCUGUUGAAGGAGUCGACAACAUCCACUGGAAUGGUAAUACAAUUUCAAGAUUUGAUUAACACAUAAUGUUUUCCCAGCUGUAUCGGCCAGAGGGCUCAAACAACCCCUGUUUCCUCUCAAGAAUGUCUCAGACCCAAGCUGUUGAAGGAGUCGACAACAUCCACUGGAAUGGUAAUACAAUUUCAAGAUUUUUUUCAUUACAGUGCACUAAACUGAUUUAUAAAAGAUCUCACUUAUCUCUUUCCAUCGCCUUUUGUAAACUGAAUAAAGAAUGAAGAGCAUGACUGCUCAAAGCAAAGGCAAGACCACAAAAUAGAGGAGCUCCUAAGCCAGGUGGAGGUCCUUUGGGAUGCUCUGCAGAAGAAAUAUGGAGAGAACAAUAAGACCGAACCAGCGGAAAAAGAACAAUCCGGAGAUAAAGCUGCACAGAUGGUGUCAGAUCUCACAGUUUCAAACCAUCUCCCAGAAAAUGUAGAGGAAUGCAGUUCAGGAAUGCUCGAAAAGUUCCUUGAACUGCUGGAUCACAGUGGUUGUCACAAAAUAAGUCAGGAUUUUCCUGGAUCUCUGCAAAGGCAAGAUAUAGACGAGGCUGCAGAAAUGUCACUAAAUCUAAUGAGUCAUCAAACUGAACAAGAAAGACCCCGGAAGCAGGACCAGAUCACUAAUGAUCUACAAAGCUCGGUAAAAAAUGAGUUUGUUUCACAAAGCAAUGUCCAAUAUCAACGUGAUU
Molecule: long non-coding RNA, 1239 nt
Filed under: Sinocyclocheilus anshuiensis
Lineage: Eukaryota; Metazoa; Chordata; Actinopteri; Cypriniformes; Cyprinidae
Description: lncRNA (ENSSANG00000022898.1)
Source: RNAcentral